CCAGACUCCUACGGGAGGCAGCAGUGGGGAAUAUUGCGCAAUGGGGGAAACCCUGACGCAGCAACGCCGCGUGAGUGAAGAAGUAUCUCGGUAUGUAAAGCUCUAUCAGCGGGGAAGAAAGAGGACGGUACCCGACUAAGAAGCCCCGGCUAACUACGUGCCAGCAGCCGCGGUAAUACGUAGGGGGCAAGCGUUAUCCGGAUUCACUGGGUGUAAAGGGAGCGUAGACGGCGACGCAAGUCUGGAGUGAAAGCCCGGGGCCCAACCCCGGGACUGCUUUGGAAACUGCCCGGCUAGAGUGCUGGAGAGGUAAGCGGAAUUCCUAGUGUAGCGGUGAAAUGCGUAGAUAUUAGGAGGAACACCAGUGGCGAAGGCGGCUUACUGGACAGUAACUGACGUUGAGGCUCGAAAGCGUGGGGAGCAAACAGGAUUAGAUACCCGGGUAU
RNAcentral lists this ribosomal RNA (446 nucleotides) under uncultured bacterium. RNAcentral's name for it is "bacterial SSU rRNA". It matches the Rfam family "Bacterial small subunit ribosomal RNA", at positions 331 to 793 of the family's 1533-position model. The record is from RNAcentral.